This 886-nucleotide ribosomal RNA is filed under the name uncultured archaeon. RNAcentral describes it as "bacterial SSU rRNA". It matches the Rfam family "Archaeal small subunit ribosomal RNA", at positions 21 to 903 of the family's 1478-position model. The record is from RNAcentral.
GGCCAAUGCUAUGGGGGUCCGACUAGGCCAUGCGAGUCAUGGGGCGCGCUCUGCGCGCACCGGCGGACGGCUCGGUAACACGUCGGUAACCUACCCUCGGGAGGGGGAUAACCCCGGGAAACUGGGGCUAAUCCCCCAUAGGCCUGAGGUACUGGAAGGUCCUCAGGCCGAAAGGGUCUUUGACCGCCCGAGGAUGGGCCGGCGGCCGAUUAGGUAGUUGGUGGGGUAACGGCCCACCAAGCCGAAGAUCGGUACGGGCCAUGAGAGUGGGAGCCCGGAGAUGGACACUGAGACACGGGUCCAGGCCCUACGGGGCGCAGCAGGCGCGAAACCUCCGCAAUGCGGGCAACCGCGACGGGGGGACCCCCAGUGCCGUGGCAUCGCCACGGCUUUUCCGGAGUGUAAAAAGCUCCGGGAAUAAGGGCUGGGCAAGGCCGGUGGCAGCCGCCGCGGUAAUACCGGCGGCCCGAGUGGUGGCCGCUAUUAUUGGGCCUAAAGCGUCCGUAGCCGGGCCCGUAAGUCCCUGGCGAAAUCCCACGGCUCAACCGUGGGGCUUGCUGGGGAUACUGCGGGCCUUGGGACCGGGAGAGGCGGGGGGUACCCCUGGGGUAGGGGUGAAAUCCUAUAAUCCCAGGGGGACCGCCAGUGGCGAAGGCGCCCCGCUGGAACGGGUCCGACGGUGAGGGACGAAGGCCAGGGGAGCGAACUGGAUUAGAUACCCGGGUAGUCCUGGCUGUAAAGGAUGCGGGCUAGGUGUCGGGCGAGCUUCGAGCUCGCCCGGUGCCGAAGGGAAGCCGUUAAGCCCGCCGCCUGGGGAGUACGGCCGCAAGGCUGAAACUUAAAGGAAUUGGCGGGGGAGCACCACAAGGGGUGGAGCGUGCGGUUU